ACGCUCGACACCUACGGGGGGCAGCAGUGGGGAAUAUUGCACAAUGGGGGAAACCCGUGAUGCAGCGACGCCGCGUGAAGGAAGAAGUAUCUCGGUAUGUAAACUUCUAUCAGCAGGGAAGAAAAUGACGGUACCUGACUAAGAAGCCCCGGCUAACUACGUGCCAGCAGCCGCGGUAAUCUGAGCGGGCUGGCAAGGC
Molecule: ribosomal RNA, 199 nt
Filed under: uncultured bacterium
Lineage: Bacteria
Description: partial 16S ribosomal RNA
Rfam family: Bacterial small subunit ribosomal RNA
Source: RNAcentral